RNAcentral lists this ribosomal RNA (495 nucleotides) under uncultured bacterium. RNAcentral describes it as "partial 16S ribosomal RNA". It matches the Rfam family "Bacterial small subunit ribosomal RNA", at positions 28 to 507 of the family's 1533-position model. The record is from RNAcentral.
GACGAACGCUGGCGGCGUGCCUAAUACAUGCAAGUCGAACGCUGAAGGAGGAGCUUGCUUCUCUGGAUGAGUUGCGAACGGGUGAGUAACGCGUAGGUAACCUGCCUGGUAGCGGGGGAUAACUAUUGGAAACGAUAGCUAAUACCGCAUAAUAGUAGAUGUUGCAUGACAUUUGCUUAAAAGGUGCAAUUGCAUCACUACCAGAUGGACCUGCGUUGUAUUAGCUAGUUGGUGGGGUAACGGCUCACCAAGGCGACGAUACAUAGCCGACCGGAGAGGGGGAUCGGCCUCACUGGGACUGAGGCCCGGCCCAGACUCCUACGGGAGGCAGCAGUAGGGAAUCUUCGGCAAUGGACGGAAGUCUGACCGAGCAACGCCGCGUGAGUGAAGAAGGUUUUCGGAUCGUAAAGCUCUGUUGUAAGAGAAGAACGAGUGUGAGAGUGGAAAGUUCACACUGUGACGGUAGCUUACCAGAAAGGGACGGCUAACUACGUG